AUACGAAGGGGGCUAGCGUUGUUCGGAAUCACUGGGCGUAAAGCGCACGUAGGUGGACUAAUUAGUUGGGGGUGAAAUCCCGGGGCUCAACCUCGGAACUGCCUUCAAUACUGUUAGUCUUGAGACCGAGAGAGGUGAGUGGAAUUCCUAGUGUAGAGGUGAAAUUCGUAGAUAUUAGGAAGAGCACCAGUGGCGAAGGCGGCUCACUGGCUCGGUACUGACGCUGAGGUGCGAAAGCGUGGGGAGCAAACAGGAUUAGAAACCCUAGUAGUCC
Molecule: ribosomal RNA, 274 nt
Filed under: uncultured bacterium
Lineage: Bacteria
Description: partial 16S ribosomal RNA
Rfam family: Bacterial small subunit ribosomal RNA
Source: RNAcentral